Molecule: ribosomal RNA, 322 nt
Filed under: uncultured Comamonadaceae bacterium
Lineage: Bacteria; Pseudomonadati; Pseudomonadota; Betaproteobacteria; Burkholderiales; Comamonadaceae
Description: bacterial SSU rRNA
Rfam family: Bacterial small subunit ribosomal RNA
Source: RNAcentral
AUUGAACGCUGGCGGCAUGCCUUACACAUGCAAGUCGAACGGCAGCACGGGAGCAAUCCUGGUGGCGAGUGGCGAACGGGUGAGUAAUACAUCGGAACGUGCCCAAUCGUGGGGGAUAACGCAGCGAAAGCUGUGCUAAUACCGCAUACGAUCUACGGAUGAAAGCAGGGGAUCGCAAGACUUUGCGCGAAUGGAGCGGCCGAUGGCAGAUUAGGUAGUUGGUGAGGUAAAGGCUCACCAAGCCGUCGAUCUGUAGCUGGUCUGAGAGGAGGACCAGCCCACCGGGACUGAGACGUUGUCUAUUUUCUUACUGGAGGUAGCU